Molecule: transfer RNA, 76 nt
Filed under: Podarcis lilfordi (Lilford's wall lizard)
Lineage: Eukaryota; Metazoa; Chordata; Lepidosauria; Squamata; Lacertidae
Description: tRNA.Thr
Source: RNAcentral
AGAGCCAGUGUGGUUUAGUGGUUAACAGCGGCAGAUUCGUAAUCUGGUGAACCGGGUUCGCUUCCCCGCUCCUCCA